This 408-nucleotide ribosomal RNA is filed under the name uncultured prokaryote. RNAcentral describes it as "partial 16S ribosomal RNA". The record is from RNAcentral.
CCCUACGGGGUGCAGCCGAAGAAGAAUGCAUGCCGUCAGUAGACAGAUGCGUUUCAUAGCGGACCGUCCCUGUCUUCGAAUUUGCUAUGUACAUUCAACACCAUCGGCCGGCCGUAUGUCCAGAGCUUAUGAACAGCCUCAUUAAACCUUUGCGGUGCUUGAAGGAUAUGCUAUUAUUAGUGGCAUGACCGGCUUCACGAUCCGGGCCCUCCACAAAGGGGAUCGCGGGCCGGCGCGGCUUCAUCACUACCGCAGGAGGUACAGGUUAUGAAAAACAGGGUCAGGGCAUAUUCGGUGACCGUCCUGCUUUGUGCACUCGCCGGAUUUUUUAUCAGCGCUGCCGGGUAUUCCCAGCUGGACAUCGAGGAUAAGGACAAGGCGGGACUUUUCCCCGUUUCGCGGGAGGGC